GAAGUCUGGUAAUGAACCAAGACUCAUCAGCUGAUUUGGGUCAGAACAAGUACAGGCUCUCCCAGCUCGUUUUAAGCAUGGCUGUUACCAUAGGCUGCUGUUUCUUCUGAAAUCUUCCGGGGGGUGAAGGUCAGAAGCUGAUGCAUGUUAGUAUGAUGAAGAGUACCUUUUCUAAUCUGCUCCUCAGACGCCGUUGGAAAUGAAGAAUGAAUAAGUAAUGUUUUCAAAGCCCGUGGGAAAUCAUGAGGCUACAGAUUCUAUCUUCUGAACUAACAGUCUGGACUGGAAAACUGGAAGUGAAUUUUAAGCUCAUCGAGUCCAACUUCCUCUUUAAUAUCUGAAUUUCUGCAAGCCCACCUGUGCUUGAAACCCCCUCGGUGAUGGGGGUCUUACCACCUUACACUCUGUCCUUGAACAGCCCGGACUGUGAGGAAGCCUUUCCUAACACUGGAUCAACAGCUGUCUCCCUGGGGCUUUAGCUCACUCACCCGGGGCAGUUCCCUUGUCCUGAAUAGAAAACAGACACAGUACCUAUUGUUGGGCAGCUGCUUUGCUCAGGCCCAGGACUGGGAUGUUCUUGGGGCCUCUGGCAGGUCCUCAUGCAGCAGAGUGGCCUUCACCUUCUGACCUGAGGCACACGCCUGGGGCGAGGCCCAGGGCUGCAGUGCAGGAUGGCGUCAGCGGGGUGAACGGGGCCGUGGCUGCCCGUGAGGCCUUCCCUGCUCCGUCGCAGGAGCUUACGAUUUCCUGCUCGUCUUUCUUAUAUUCAGCCCAACUUAAGCCUUAAAUGAAAUGCAGGAUGAGGAUUCAUGCUUACUCAUGAAUUUUCACACAACCAGAUCAUGCACUAGGAAUCUUAGAAAUGGCUCCAAUUUCCAAAAUAUUUAUCUUUUCUUUAGUUCUCACCUAAAGCAAAAGUUUAAAGCUGGCAACGUUGGACUCCCCUCCUCCCCUCCUCCCCAUUUGGAGGGCCGUUGCCCCUUCCUGUUCCAUGGUCGCUGGGCGCCUGUCUCCCAGGCUGCCCCUGCAGGAUGGCUCUGUGCCAUGGACAUUCCCCACCUCAUGCUGCCCUCCCCUCCUCCAAACCUACCUGUCCUCUGUCUGAGUCUCUCAGCAGCUGGUUUAUCAGAUGUGACCCUGGCUGCCAAUGUGUUUUGGUCCCCUUAGCAAAUCCUGCUUAAUUCGUGAGAUAGCUCCUGCCUUAUCCCCCAUCCUUAGCACCAGGAUUCCCUGAGGAGGUCGAACACAGGUCACCGGAGGGCCCGUAGGUGGUGGCUUUUUAGUGGGGAAGGAAAGACAUCAUGAUAAGAUCAAGGAUGAGAAACUGUUUUGGUCUGCAAGCCCCUCAGCACAACUUCAUACCUUGCAUCUCCUUGUUAAACGGUGCUAGUUCUGUUCUCCACAAACAAUAACAAUAGCUCUUACUGCGUGUGAUUAUUAAUUAUAGC
This 1448-nucleotide long non-coding RNA is filed under the name Equus asinus (donkey). RNAcentral describes it as "lncRNA (ENSEASG00005028999.1)". Lineage: Eukaryota; Metazoa; Chordata; Mammalia; Perissodactyla; Equidae. The record is from RNAcentral.